RNAcentral lists this ribosomal RNA (414 nucleotides) under uncultured bacterium. RNAcentral's name for it is "bacterial SSU rRNA". It matches the Rfam family "Bacterial small subunit ribosomal RNA", at positions 917 to 1333 of the family's 1533-position model. The record is from RNAcentral.
GGGCCCGCACAAGCGGUGGAGCAUGUGGUUUAAUUCGAUGAUACGCGAGGAACCUUACCAGGGCUUAAAUGUAGUGGGACAGGUCUAGAGAUAGACCCUUCUUCGGACUCAUUACAAGGUGCUGCAUGGUUGUCGUCAGCUCGUGCCGUGAGGUGUCAGGUUAAGUCCUAUAACGAGCGCAACCCCUAUCGUUAGUUGCCAGCGGGUAAUGCCGGGAACUCUAGCGAAACUGCCGGUGCAAACUGUGAGGAAGGUGGGGAUGACGUCAAAUCAUCACGGCCCUUACGUCCUGGGCUACACACGUGCUACAAUGGCCGGUACAGAGAGCAGCCACUUCGCAAGAAGGAGCGAAUCUAUUAAAACCGGUCUCAGUUCGGAUUGUAGGCUGCAACUCGCCUACAUAAAGAUGGAAUC